RNAcentral lists this ribosomal RNA (485 nucleotides) under uncultured bacterium. RNAcentral describes it as "partial 16S ribosomal RNA". It matches the Rfam family "Bacterial small subunit ribosomal RNA", at positions 28 to 507 of the family's 1533-position model. The record is from RNAcentral.
GAUGAACGCUGGCGGCGUGCUUAACACAUGCAAGUCGAACGGGAUCCAAGGGGUGCUUGCACUUUUUGGUGAGAGUGGCGAACGGGUGAGUUACACGUGAGUAACCUGUCCUUUUCUUUGGGAUGAGCAUUCGAAAGGGUGUUUAAUACCUUAUGUUCUGUCUGCCUCGCAUGGGGUGGGUGGGAAAGGCUUUGGCCGGCUUUGGGUGGGCUCGCGGUCUUUCGGCUUGUUGGUGGGGUGAUGGCUUACCAAGGCUUUGAGGGGUAGCCGGCCUGAGAGGGUAGUCGGUCACAUGGGGACUCAGAUCCGGCCCAGACUCCUGCGGGGGGCAGCAGUGGGGGAUAUUGCACAAUGGGCGAAAGCCUGAUGCAGCGACGCCGCGUGGGGGAUGAAGUGCUUCGGGUUGUAAGCUGCUAUUGCUGUGAGCAAGGCAUGCCAGUGGGUGUGUGGAGUGUAGGGGUUGAUUAGCGCCGGCUAACUACGUG